RNAcentral lists this ribosomal RNA (489 nucleotides) under uncultured bacterium. Its description in RNAcentral is "partial 16S ribosomal RNA". It matches the Rfam family "Bacterial small subunit ribosomal RNA", at positions 30 to 507 of the family's 1533-position model. The record is from RNAcentral.
UUGAACGCUGGCGGCAGGCCUAACACAUGCAAGUCGCACGGUAACAGGAAGAAGCUUGCUUCUUUGCUGACGAGUGGCGGACGGGUGAGUAAUGUCUGGGAAACUGCCUGAUGGAGGGGGAUAACUACUGGAAACGGUAGCUAAUACCGCAUAACGUCGCAAGACCAAAGAGGGGGACCUUCGGGCCUCUUGCCAUCGGAUGUGCCCAGAUGGGAUUAGCUAGUAGGUGGGGUAACGGCUCACCUAGGCGACGAUCCCUAGCUGGUCUGAGAGGAUGACCAGCCACACUGGAACUGAGACACGGUCCAGACUCCUACGGGAGGCAGCAGUGGGGAAUAUUGCACAAUGGGCGCAAGCCUGAUGCAGCCAUGCCGCGUGUAUGAAGAAGGCCUUCGGGUUGUAAAGUACUUUCAGCGGGGAGGAAGGGAGUAAAGUUAAUACCUUUGCUCAUUGACGUUACCCGCAGAAGAAGCACCGGCUAACUCCGUG